This is a non-coding RNA of Oncorhynchus mykiss (rainbow trout), 1517 nucleotides long. The record is from RefSeq and is a predicted model, not a curated record. NCBI's taxonomy places the organism in Eukaryota, Metazoa, Chordata, Actinopteri, Salmoniformes, Salmonidae.
AGGAUGAGUUGAGAAUUAACAUACCAGAAGGACUCUAGCUGCAGUUUAGGUGUCCAUUGGUUACGACCCUGACGCUUCGAAGACACAGACUGCGUAAUUUCAUCAAUGCUGCAUAACAUUUUGCGCAGCUACAGACGGUCACAUGCGGUUGGACACAUGGAUGAGAGAAUCAUUUUCGCAGUGUCCUCAAAACCGUGCCUUUUUGACACAAAUGCUGACAGCUACAGGGACUUAAACAUAAAAAUUGCUGCUUGGAGUCAAGUGUCCACGAUAGUUGAAUUACCAGGUCAAUCUAGUAGUGAACUUGUGCUAGAUGUGGCUAGUUAGCUAGCUAGCUAACUAACCUAGCCAAAUGAGGUGUGUGUGAAAGAUAGAUAGUAACAUAAAUAAUGCUAGAUACUACCCCUGAUAACUUGGCCAAAUAAUCAUGUUUGAAAGAGUGUGAAUGUGAGAGAGUGUGAGUGUGUAUGAGAGAGUGUGAGUGUGUAUGUGAGAGAGUGAGUGUAUAUGUAAGAUAAAUAGUAAUUGUGUUCGAUACUACCCCUGAUCAUUUGGUCAGAUAACCGUGUGUGUACAGUAGGUGACAUGUCCAUGAUAGCUAUCUAAUAACUAUAGUUAAUCUAGGUAAUGGUUUGGCUUAUCAUGUUCAUGUCUAUGUAGAAGAAGACUGUAGGAGGAAGUGGAGAGGACUCGGGGACAAGUAUCAGAGAGAGAGAGAAGGGCAGAGAAAGAGAAGAAGAGGUCUGGGUCAGCAGCUUCAGAGAUGGAGUCAAUUUAGCCGACCAGCUCACAGGAAGGACAGGAAGAGGAGAGGAGUUGUCUGGUUGUUGUUUUGACCUCCCUCAUUGUACCUUUCUUUUCACACAUGUCAGUUCUGUUUAAAUUCAGUCAAUUCAUAAAGUCAUUUGUUUCUAAAGUCUUAGGAUAGCAUUCAUUAUUAGUGUUCCAUAGAUUUCUGAAUUGACGGAAUUGAAACUCACACACCGGAGAAUUCACAGAUGCUCUUGUUGGUCUCUUACCAGACUAAAGGUGAAUAUAUUUAUUUCAUUUAAAACCUCUUGAAAACCAGGGUGUUGAAACUUCACAAAAAGUUAUGUUCCAUCGACUGGUCCAUGACGUCCAGGGGCCAUUUGCUUGUUUAGCUGUGUUAUGGCUACACAUUAUUUUCUUCUUUCAGAGACAGAGACACACACACCUCUCCUCCAGUCCUCUCUGUCCCUCAGAUCUCCAGUGCCCUGCCCUCUCUCUCUUUAUGGCCAUGUCUGAAGUUCCCCUACUACGUCUAGGCUUUAUGAGUAGUCCCUGUAUCGGUCUGCAGUUGUGCCAAAAAUACAUGCUCUUGUUAUUCUCUUACAGAUUACAGGCUGGCUACAUGUUAUUUUUGGUAUUUUUACACGCACACAUGCACACCUCUUUCAAUGUUGUUUUAUUUUUUUGUACAAUUUUUACAACACACAUGCCUGUCAUGUUCUUUCCUGUACUUGAAUACUUAUUAAAUUCUAAUGUUUUCAUAGUCA